CAAUAGCGUAUAUUAAAGUUGUUGCAGUUAAAAAGCUCGUAGUUGGAUUUGUGGUGUAUGGUGUGUUCCGGGCACUUGUUGUCUGAGUAACUUGCCAUUGCCAUCCUUGGGUGGAACCUGUGUGGCAUUAGGUUGUCGUGCAGGGGAUGCCCAUCGUUUACUGUGAAAAAAUUAGAGUGUUCAAAGCAGGCUUAUGCCGUUGAAUAUAUUAGCAUGGAAUAAUAAGAUAGGACUUUUUUGCUAUUUUGUUGGUUUGCGCGAGAAGGUAAUGAUUAAUAGGGAUAGUUGGGGGUAUUCGUAUUCCAUUGUCAGAGGUGAAAUUCUUGGAUUUUUGGAAGACGAACUACUGCGAAAGCAUUUACCAAGGAUGUUUUCAUUAA
RNAcentral lists this ribosomal RNA (380 nucleotides) under uncultured eukaryote. RNAcentral describes it as "partial 18S ribosomal RNA". It matches the Rfam family "Eukaryotic small subunit ribosomal RNA", at positions 592 to 976 of the family's 1831-position model. The record is from RNAcentral.